Molecule: ribosomal RNA, 253 nt
Filed under: uncultured bacterium
Lineage: Bacteria
Description: partial 16S ribosomal RNA
Rfam family: Bacterial small subunit ribosomal RNA
Source: RNAcentral
UACGAAGGGGGCUAGCGUUGCUCGGAAUCACUGGGCGUAAAGCGCACGUAGGCGGAUUGUUAAGUCAGGGGUGAAAUCCUGGAGCUCAACUCCAGAACUGCCUUUGAUACUGGCGAUCUUGAGUCCGGGAGAGGUGAGUGGAACUCCAGGUGUAGCGGUGAAAUGCGUAGAUAUCUGGAGGAACACCGGUGGCGAAGGCGGCAUCCUGGACCGGCAUUGACGCUGAGGAGCGAAAGCCAGGGGAGCAAACGGG